UCAAACGAUUUGACUAUUGCACAAGAUACAUCUAUUAUAGUUUGAACUCUUCAAAUAUAAUAUUAAAAUAUUUUAUAAAUAAAUUUUAGACACAACAAACCUGCUCUGAUACCACUGAAGGAUUGCGUAUAGGUGUUCGUAACACGCAGCGGAAGACAAUUACAAUCCUAGGUAGAUUUUCUCAUGUUUAAAAUUUAUUUACGUAUCAAAGAUCAGAUCAAAGACGUACCUGGUGAAGAGAGUCUCGUUUCAAAAUUCUUCGAUAGUGGGAAGACUCUAUGCGUAUCCACACCGAGACCGAUC
Molecule: long non-coding RNA, 303 nt
Filed under: Nicotiana benthamiana
Lineage: Eukaryota; Viridiplantae; Streptophyta; Magnoliopsida; Solanales; Solanaceae
Description: long non-coding RNA (NBEN_LNC036969)
Source: RNAcentral